This 501-nucleotide ribosomal RNA is filed under the name uncultured archaeon. RNAcentral describes it as "bacterial SSU rRNA". It matches the Rfam family "Archaeal small subunit ribosomal RNA", at positions 154 to 655 of the family's 1478-position model. The record is from RNAcentral.
GGAUAGAUCAUAAAUGCUGGAAUGCUUUAUGAUUGAAAGGUUUCGACCGCCUUAGGAUGGAUCUGCGGCCUAUCAGGUUGUAGUGGGUGUAAUGUACCUACUAGCCUACGACGGGUACGGGUUGUGGAAGCAAGAGCCCGGAGAUGGAUUCUGAGACAUGAAUCCAGGCCCUACGGGGCGCAGCAGGCGCGAAAACUUUACAAUGCGGGAAACCGUGAUAAGGGAACACUGAGUGCUAGCAUUUAUGUUAGCUGUCCACAUGUGUAAAUAGCAUGUGAUAGCAAGGGCUGGGCAAGACCGGUGCCAGCCACCGCGGUAACACCGGCAGCCCGAGUGGUGAUCACUAUUAUUGGGUCUAAAGGGUCCGUAGCCGGUUUAAUCAGUCUUCUGGGAAAUCUAAUCGCUUAACUAUUAGGCUUCCAGGGGAUACUGUUAGACUUGGGACCGGGAGAGGUAAGAGGUACUGCAGGGGUAGGAGUGAAAUCUUGUAAUCCCUGUGAG